Molecule: ribosomal RNA, 512 nt
Filed under: uncultured bacterium
Lineage: Bacteria
Description: bacterial SSU rRNA
Rfam family: Bacterial small subunit ribosomal RNA
Source: RNAcentral
AACGCUGGCGGCGUGCUUAACACAUGCAAGGUCGAAACGCGAAAGGGGACGUUACGGUCCUGAGUAAAGUAGGCGCACGGGUGAGUAACGCGUAGAUAACCUGUCUUCAUGUCUGGAAUAAUACGCCGAAAGGGGUACUAAUACCGGAUAUUCUUGCUUUUCAUAAGUUAUGCAAGCAAAGGUGGCCUCUGCAUAUGCUACUGCAUGAAGAGGGGUCUGCGUACCAUUAGCUAGUAGGUGGGGUAAUGGCCUACCUAGGCGACGAUGGUUAGCGGGUCUGAGAGGAUGAUCCGCCACACUGGCACUGGAACACGGGCCAGGCUCCUACGGGAGGCAGCAGUGAGGAAUAUUGCGCAAUGGGGGAAACCCUGACGCAGCGACGCCGCGUGAGUGAGGAAGGCCUUCGGGUCGUAAAGCUCUGUCAAGAGGAAAGAAGUGUACAAUGGCUAAUACCUGUUGUAUUUGACGGUACCUCUAAAGGAAGCACCGGCUAACUCCGUGCCAGCCGCCGC